AGUGAACGCUGGCGGUAGGCCCAACACAUGCAAGUCGAACGGCAGCACAGUAAGAGCUUGCUCUUACGGGUGGCGAGUGGCGGACGGGUGAGGAAUACAUCGGAAUCUACUUUUUCGUGGGGGAUAACGUAGGGAAACUUACGCUAAUACCGCAUACGACCUACGGGUGAAAGCAGGGGAUCUUCGGACCUUGCGCGAUUGAAUGAGCCGAUGUCGGAUUAGCUAGUUGGCGGGGUAAAGGCCCACCAAGGCGACGAUCCGUAGCUGGUCUGAGAGGAUGAUCAGCCACACUGGAACUGAGACACGGUCCAGACUCCUACGGGAGGCAGCAGUGGGGAAUAUUGGACAAUGGGCGCAAGCCUGAUCCAGCCAUACCGCGUGGGUGAAGAAGGCCUUCGGGUUGUAAAGCCCUUUUGUUGGGAAAGAAAAGCAGCAGGUUAAUACCCCGCUGUUCUGACGGUACCCAAAGAAAAAGCACCGGCUAACUUCGUG
This 492-nucleotide ribosomal RNA is filed under the name uncultured bacterium. Its description in RNAcentral is "partial 16S ribosomal RNA". It matches the Rfam family "Bacterial small subunit ribosomal RNA", at positions 29 to 507 of the family's 1533-position model. The record is from RNAcentral.